GGAAUAACCUCGGGAAACCGGGGCUAAUACCGCAUAACAUCUUCUGGCUGAGAUGCCGGUUGCUCCUUACUUUGCAAUGCGCUUGAAGAGGGGGUCGCGGCUGAUUAGCUAGUUGGUGAGGUAACGGCUCACCAAGGCGAUGAUCAGUAGCCGGCCUGAGAGGGCGCUCGGUCACACUGGAACUGAAACACGGUCCAGACUCCUACGGGAGGCAGCAGUGGGGAAUUUUGCGCAAUGGGGGAAACCCUGACGCAGCAACGCCGCGUGGAGGAUGAAGUCCCUUGGGACGU
Molecule: ribosomal RNA, 290 nt
Filed under: uncultured Acidobacteriota bacterium
Lineage: Bacteria; Pseudomonadati; Acidobacteriota
Description: uncultured Acidobacteria bacterium partial 16S ribosomal RNA
Rfam family: Bacterial small subunit ribosomal RNA
Source: RNAcentral